AUUAAAUGAUUAAUAGUUAUGUUCUUUAAAGUUAAAGAAUUUGGCGGUAUUUUAGUCUUUUCAGAGGAACCUGUUCUGUAAUUGAUAGUCCACGAUUAUAAUUACUUUAAUUUUAAGUUUGCAUAUCGUUGUAGUUUGAGUAUUUUAAGAGAAUGAAAAUAUUCAAUAUUUUUAAUUAGAAGUUAAAUCAAAUCAAGGUGUAGUUUAUAUUAAAGAAGAAAUGGGUUACAAUAACAAUAAAAGUUUAGGAUUAUCUUUAUAAAAGAGAUAUGAAUAUGGAUUUGAUAGUAAUUUUAUUUAUA
RNAcentral lists this ribosomal RNA (302 nucleotides) under Caryedon excavatus. RNAcentral describes it as "partial 12S ribosomal RNA". Lineage: Eukaryota; Metazoa; Arthropoda; Insecta; Coleoptera; Chrysomelidae. The record is from RNAcentral.